Molecule: ribosomal RNA, 490 nt
Filed under: uncultured bacterium
Lineage: Bacteria
Description: partial 16S ribosomal RNA
Rfam family: Bacterial small subunit ribosomal RNA
Source: RNAcentral
AUUGAACGCUGGCGGCAGGCCUAACACAUGCAAGUCGAAUGGUAACAGGAAACAGCUUGCUGUUUCGCUGACGAGUGGCGGACGGGUGAGUAAUGUCUGGGAAACUGCCUGAUGGAGGGGGAUAACUACUGGAAACGGUAGCUAAUACUGCAUAACGUCGCAAGACCAAAGAGGGGGACCUUCGGGCCUCUUGCCAUCAGAUGUGCCCAGAUGGGAUUAGCUAGUAGGUGGGGUAACGGCUCACCUAGGCGACGAUCCCUAGCUGGUCUGAGAGGAUGACCAGCCACACUGGAACUGAGACACGGUCCAGACUCCUACGGGAGGCAGCAGUGGGGAAUAUUGCACAAUGGGCGCAAGCCUGAUGCAGCCAUGCCGCGUGUAUGAAGAAGGCCUUCGGGUUGUAAAGUACUUUCAGCGGGGAGGAAGGGAGUAAAGUUAAUACCUUUGCUCAUUGACGUUACCCGCAGAAGAAGCACCGGCUAACUCCGUG